This is a long non-coding RNA of Triplophysa dalaica, 2357 nucleotides long. RefSeq lists it as uncharacterized. Lineage: Eukaryota; Metazoa; Chordata; Actinopteri; Cypriniformes; Nemacheilidae. The transcript is spliced from 4 exons. The record is from RefSeq and is a predicted model, not a curated record.
AUUUGUACAGGUCGUAGUGUCAAAUGUCCAUAGACUAACGUUAUCAACACGUUACAUAUUUGUUUCUCUACAUAAUAGACGGGAUACAGCCACCUCCACUGGGCACGCGCACUUCAAAACCGUAUAAUUUGCGUCACUCUAAAAACAGUUGAUUUAUAAUUUGUAUUAUUGUAAGGUUAGGUUUAGGGUUUGGGUAGGCGUAGGGGUUAGCUUAUGUAAUUUAUUGGAAUUCUAUGGCGAGAUGUUGCACCACUUCCGGCCGUAGCUGCAUCCCUUCUAGCUACAACCUAUCUGCGAAGAAGAAGAAGAAGAAGAAGACAGAGCGCAAUGCACGACGUAGAAAUGGCUAAACAACAUUACAGUUCGAACGGCGGGCACUUUUGAGCGAAAGGAUCCACCGAUGCAAACCACAAAACACCGCUGUAGAUGAAAAAUCUGUCAUUUCUCGUGUAACGGAGGCCAGCUGUUAGAGGGAGAGCUGUGUGUGCACGCAGAGGCUGCGAGCUCGUCUCUCCCUCGCCGGACCGAUGGCGGUUUCGAGGCUAGGAGGGGUUACAUUCCCGCAUCCCUGAGAACACCCCCCAGGAAAGAAUGAAUUCGGCGAGAGUCCCGUCUGGUCGUGAGUAGAGUAUCACUACAGGUGAGGCAUCAGAAAGUUUGUCAGUAUUUUAUGAGAUCCAAGCGCCUGUGAGAAGGGCGUUGUGUGUUUUUACUGUCCCAGAGAAACCUGUAGGCUCUUUGUUGCGAAAAGCAGGCGGUUACGUCAUCUCGGGGGGAAUGCGCCCUGCGGUUGUUCAACAGGUCAUGCACUCCAUUACAACAGGUGCCCAGCUGGACAAAAAACCCAACCCAACGCUCGCUUCAGUGAUGGAAAGUAGAUAAGCAGGGAGGUACUUUGCAGGUAUAUACUCGAAAAAAGUACCAUUUAUGUGGGAGACUCUACACUAGAAGAGUGCAUUAGGUUUUGCUGUAUGCUAAGUGUAUAGUGAUGUAAAAGUGUAAUGUAUUGCAGUUCAUUUUAUUAUACCCACGUUACCCCCAGCCUGUCCGUUUACCAUGGGAAUGGAACUCCCGCCGGCCGUGAUGGAGAGGAAACAGGGGUCUCUGUACACACUUUAUCCUGACCGUUCUUCAUCACUCAGACCAGGUGGACAUCUCCAACACUUUGGACGGGUCACUGGAUCACCGCUUCUUUCACCACAUCCACAGCCAGACUGGAUGUCCGUACUGUAUUUAUUUUUCAGGGUGUGUUUGUGUGUGUGUGUGUGCGUGUAUGUGUGUGCGCGUGCGCGCGCACGUGUGUGUGUUUAAUUAAGUUGACCACAGGGUUUUCCUGGGCAGAGCCCGAUGAAGACGUACCAGACGGUAUGUGUAUGGACCCAUAGGGUGUCAGUGGGUCGCCUGCUACCAUGGAGGAAGAGAUUUGCGCAUCGACCCACAAACAGGCACCAGACUGCAGACGGUGAAACUGGCAGGAGAAGACCACCUUGUGUUGUGCAGGUGGAAAGGAUCGCGCUGAUCUGUACGUCACCAUCACGCCGUUUAAAGACAUGGAUGGAGAUUCACUGGCCAUACAGCCUUCGGCUGGCUGCCUAUUUAAGGUCACAGGUGUGGGAGUUCCAUCGUUCUCGUGUACUGGAUAAAAACCAAGAAGACAGCGAUGAUGCUUGUUGAUCCGUUACCAUUUUUUCUGAUGAAACAGCUGUAGUGACUGGAUCAUUGAGAGAAAAACCUCACUCCCUUUUGUCCUGGUUUCUAGAUACCAUCAUCAAAAGACCAUAGCAAGCAUGGCUCCAUGGGUCUGGUUUUGGUCUUUUGAACUCUCACAGUGAGUGUGAUGACCAUUUGGUUCCUCUGUAGGAUAUUUAAGACUCCUUAGCUUCAAAGCAUUGGUGAUAAGUCUCUGUCUCAUCUCUUACUUAACAUCUGAGGCUAAGCAGAAAACUUCUCUGACAAAUAGGAACUUUAUUUGAUUUAUUAAACUAUCCUUUUCUGUAAAUGUAUCUAAAUGUCUAGGUUGUGUGUUGGCGCACAUGCCAUUUUAAGUACUCUGUAACUGUUGAAUAUACAAGUUUUGAUUUAGGGUUGAUUUGAUGUAUUCAUACAUUGGAAUGAUUCACAGUUCAAUGCCUUGCAUGUUUCAUAUGUAACUACAACUCUCUGAAUUCCCUAUAUGAUGAGCUAUGUUCUAAAACCAUAGCAUACCUCAUACUAUGUCCAUGACUAAGUUUAGGUAUUAAAUGCAAACUGACCAUUUUGUCAGAGCCGAGCUCUGCGCUUACGAGCGCGGUUGUGUUUCAUGUAUUUGUUUGUUGUCAUUAUGUGUAGAUUAGAGUUUAAUAAAAACCAUAAAGGCA